AUCAGGGUUGAGGCCAAUUAGUGAAUCAGGCUACCUGGUUACGUUUAGUCAACUUGGUCAUCGUUCACAUGAUAUCCCGAUUGGAACUUGAAUGACUAAUUGGGUUAUUUGCAAGCCAAUUCCCACUUCUCCCUCAUAUAUCAAACAUAGUCUAAUAUAGAUUAUAGUAAUUAGUUUACAUCAGUCCGUACAAGGACGUACAUGUAUUAAACGCUUCAACACAUGGAAUACAAGGCACAUGAAACACUUUUUUGAAGCUGCUAAAUGUUUUCAUUUAAUGAAAAAUGAAUGCAUUGUCCUGAAAAUACAAUAGAAAUAGACAUAAAAUAUAAAUAUGGAUAUUGUGACACUUUCCACAUAAUCAUAUUGCUUAAAGAAAACUCUAGACUGGGACGGAAAAAAUGGCACUUCCAAAGAGCGAAGGUGGAAUAGGGGUCAGGGAUUUCUUUGCAACUAAUGCUUCAACAUUGGUCAAAAGAGCAGAGAGGAUGUGGAGUCCUAAUAACUCCAUACUAGCAGACUAAAUAAAAAAUUAGGUACAUCAAAGGAAGAAACAUUGGGGAAAUAGAGUGUAGGCCUACUCUGGACUCUCACAUGUGGAAAACAAUAUUAGAUAAUAAGGAAACAAUAGGGAAAUGUACGUAUAAACUACCUGAGUAACUAUAGGGUCACACAAAUUGCCCCCUCCAAGCACUCAGAAACAUUAAGGCCCAGAGACAUCUUACAAGAGAUAAAUCUAGGGAUCUGGGCCAAAAAGCCUCCCAAAUUCUCCAUGUUGUUGUGGAGAAUUAAGGUCAAAAGUCUGAACAUUUUAACUAGAUUGUAAAGUUGGGGAUUCAACAUAAAUACGUCCUGCCCACUAUGUGGAAAUGAGAAAGAAAUAUUACAACACCUAUACUUUAAUUGUCAUUACACUAGAUCCUUAUUGCUAAAGUCCACUAGCUGUCUUAAUAAUGUUGUUUGGACACUUAGUGGGCAAAAUCCCCAUCUCCCGCAAUAGAGACAUCAAGAUAGGAGAUAUUAUGGAAACAAUACAAAAAUUCACUCACAAGUCUAGUUGUUGGGGGUACACUAGACUAUGCUAGCAUCCCUUUCCUGGCACAUAUGGUGUGAAAGGAAUAGGAGAUUCAAACAACACACCCUAAGACCUCCAGAAAUUGUCAGCAGAGAAAUUAUAAAGGAUGUGAGCAUUGCAUAUGAAUCUAUAUCCUAUAAAAAACACAAUCUUUCACAGAUCGAAAUACAAACUAUAUUCAAUCCUUGACUAGAUAGUCAGGGUCAUAAAUGUAUAAGAGAUAAACAAUGUUUUUACAUUUAAUGUUUUUACAUUUACUGUACUUGCAUUUUCCUAUAUUUGUAAUCUUAGGGUAUGCCCAACCUUCAUUUUCAGUAAUGAAAACUUUAAUUUUUCAAAAAAAAAAACCUCUUGACUAUCUACCUCUGGACGUUCGUCUCCCAUAUCUGCAUUGUGCUAGUCUCCAAGGGAUGACAACGACAUUUCUUUAAGCACUCAGACUUGAAGGAUAUACUAAUGUCCUUGAUUACCUCUUUCAACACUGUUUCUGGUGGUCUGGGAGUAUGUUGUUUCCAUCUGCGAUUUCUUUUUGCCAAAAUUUGGGAAACUUACCGCAUUUAGGUUUGAAAUCUCAUCUCAUAUUAUAUUAUCUCUUGAUUUUAAGAACUUAUUUUUUUGGCAGAGCUUCUCCGAACUUGAGUAUUUGCUCCUGGGGUUGAUUUCUGUUGUUUCAGUGUUUCUGGUGCCUCUUUUUUUAGUUGGAAAGGUGAUACCGACUCACAUUUUGACUUGUUCAUUUUUUUAAAUAAAUUUCAUGAUUGCUUUUGUGACCUUUAUUUGUAUCAAACUAAACAUGUUUUCUUGUAUAGAGAAGAAGUUGAAAAAGAAAUUUAUAAUAGAAAAUAAAAUCCUUGUGAAAAUAUUUUCAAAGCCACUGUCAGAUAUUUAUAUUUUGUAAUUUUAUUUUAUUUUCUGGUCAUAUUUCUUUUAGUUUUCAUAUGACUUUGUUUUAUAAACAUGAUUACCUUUUCUUUAGUUCAUUCUUACGAACAAAAGCAAGUCAGUAUAUUUGUAUGUGUUUGAAAGCAUGAUCCUAACCAUGCGAUUAACAUUUGAUCAUGUUGCUAAUUGAGGAGUUUAAUAUUACAAAAUACAAUAGAUGUAGUAGAUGGAAUAUGAAUUCCGGCAAUGAAAAGCAAAUGCUAGAUAAUAGAGAGAUACAUUGGUGGCGACACCAACUCAUCGUCGAACUUGAGUCUGCCGCAAUGGUGUUUGAAUCGGAGCUUGCAACGUUGGUCACGAUCCUCUGAUGUGCGCUUGGCGAGCUCCGGUGGUCGGCAUCGUCCGUUGAUGAUCUCUCCAGUGUCUUGUGUCGUCGGCGUGGCUUGAAUGUCGAUGGUUCAUUAGCACCACAUUGUGUGUUGAAGUAGGAUGCAUCAUAGCAUCUUUUGUUAGUUGAAUCAUGGUUGUUUGAUGAACUUAUAUAUCCUUGGAGGAUAGCCGUUGGGAGUGUUGUGGUUGAUCCAGUCAGCAUGGGGGUCCUGCAAGGUGACAUCAUAUAUUGAUUUAAAGAGGAAUAAAAAGAAUUAUGACAUUUAUCAUGUGAUAUUUGAUAGUAUGUUUGAAUUUUUUUUAAAUGCAUAAAGUUAGAACUUAGAAGCCAUUCUCAUAUAGCCAUUCUCACUAAGUUAUGUGGUGCAAAGUAAAUGAUCGGGGAGGGGGGUUCGAGUAAUUUAUAUUGUUUAUCGUAUAAGUUUUAGUCAUUUUCUUUGUAUUCAAUAAUUUAAUUAAAUCAUGUGCAUUUUCAAUUCUGAAAUGGUUAUUAUUGGUUAUUUGUUGUUUUUUCUCUGCAGGUUAUUAUCGGAAGUGAAAGUGGAUAUCCGAAUAAAUAUAAAUUAACUUUCGGAUUAUCUGAAUAUUCAGAUUUUAAGGUGAUUAAUUGAUUAUUAAUUAAUUUUAUUAAUGGUGAUUUUAUAUUUUUAUAAUUUAAUAACGAACCUAAGAUCAGUUGAUCUUGUUGGACUGGACAGUCACCGACGAAUCCAAUGCAAUCUUACUGUCGAGAUAAGUAGAUAAUCCGUUCCCUCUCAAUGCACUAAGAAAUUGUAUUCUCCAGUCAAAGUAAUUAUCACGAUCCAAUGCCACCGUUUUAGGUGAUUUGAUGAUGACGACUUUCGUCGGAGUCUCCAUCGUCACCUUAAUAGCUGGCUCCACAUCCUUCAGUAAUUUCGACAUGAUUGAGCAGAGCACAAAUUAAUCGAAUCGAUAGCAAAGAUGGAUCGAACAAAGUGUUCUCUCAAUCAAUCAGAAUUUUGAUCGAUCUAAAACUAGCGACUGAUACCAUAUUAGUGUUAUGAACAGAAUGAGAUCUUGGGAAAUGGCGGAGAUCAAGUGAUCGAUCCCUCUUAAAAUGUCAUUAAUUAGAUUAUAUACACUUCAGAGAGAUUGAGGUCUAACAGAAUCGUGCUAACUGAUUUGUUAGACUUUAAUCAUAGAAGUUUCUAGAACCAUUAUCUAGCUAAUUACAAUUGUUAUUACAUAAAAUGCCAACUAAUUUUUAUAUCUCUAAUAGUUUCAUAUAUACGAUGUUAGACAAAAUUUCAAACCUCGUGAAUACUAAAUUUCAAAUGAGGUUAGAUGUUAUCUGGUCACGACGAUAAGAUAUUUUACAUUUUAUACUUACCACUGUCUGGUUGAAGGAGAUUUGCUAUCCAAUCAAUAGUUCAUUACAUUCCACAUCUUCUGUUAAUCUGACUUUUAUUAAAGGUCUGUCUGUUAAUGUGUUAUGUUCAACUUAAAUAUUAUGUCUAAGUGCUUGUUGUGUACUUCUUUCUGCACAGGAUUGACGAGAAUCCCAACGAACGCUGGAGCUUAUGGAGAGUGGCUGUUGAUGCACUUGGUGCUGCUAUGCUUGUUACAAUAAUACUUGAUCUGUGGCGAAUAUUUCUAGGUCCUAUAGUUCUUAUCCCUGAUAGGAUGCAGCACACCCAAUCAGGACUGCCAUGGUUUUCGUAACUCAGUUAUUGGCUACAAAGAUGCCUGCAAUUCUAUUUUAAUUCAAAGCUUAAUCUUUUGUAGAUUGUAGUUAAAAUUAAAAACAUUGGAAUAUUGGAUACUUAAUAAAUGCUUUCUUUAGAGCACCCUUCUAGUGAGAACCCACUAUUGGAGAUUUCUCUAUCUUGUCCAAUGAAAAUCACAUACAAUGGUGGUAGUUAAUUUUUUUUUGAAUACGUUACUUUUGUGCCUUUGAUUGAGUUAUAUGUUGAAAUGGGUUAGAUUUGGAUGGUUUAUAGAGAAGGGGGGUUUAUGUUUAUGUUUAUGAUUGCUAGUUUUACGAUUUAUGAUUUGGAUUUUAUUUGAUAGUUGAAAAAUCUGAUCGAGUUAAAGACAGUAAUUAAAUAAAGAAGGUUUUGUUGAAUCAAGUACCAGGAUGCCUGUGUAUGAAACUAUCCCAAAGCAAAGGAAUAAUCUUCCUUUUUAUGUUUUUAUUGGUUCUCACUACAAUAAGCCACCAAACUUAUGUAUUUGUUCAAUUUAUUUCAUUUCAGUAGAAGAAAAUGAAAAAUAUAAAGAAUAGAAAAAAAAACUUUCAGCCGAAAUUCAUAUUCGUAUUUGUUUUCGAAUUCGAAAAUGUCUAUUGGAAUUAAUAUUUUCAGAUUUCAGAUCCAGAUUCAGAUACCAAAAAUGAUAUCGUAAAUUAUCCGAACGGAUUCGAAUAUCUGUAAUAUCUGUCGUUAAAAUUCGAAUUCGAUUGAUAAUUCCGAAUUCGGAUCUCCGAAUAAAUAUAAAUUGACUUUCGGAUUUUCAGAUAUCCGAAUUUUAAAAUGAUUAAUUGAUUAUUAAUUAACUUUAUUAAAUAUAAUUUUAUACUUUUUAUAAUUUUAUUUUAAGGUUUUUAUAAAAAGUUAUCCGGAUUCGGAUUUUUCGGAAAUUUAUCCGAUAUACUUUCAGAAGAAUAUGUCAAAACUUUCAUGAAUAUUAAUUACGAAAGGAGGACCUAUGUAUAAUUUUUUUAAAAUCUGAAACCUUUUGAAUAAAUUAAAUAUCUAAAAUUCAAAUCUCAACUUCUCAGUUCUCCCCAAAACUCACGAUUCUCCCCCAAUCUCUCCUCCUCCCCACCUCACGGGUCAGAUUCUCACGUUCCGACCACCGCCCAAAGACCAUCAGUUGUGGUGCCAAAGCUUACCGGCCACCUCCACUGGCCUUCAAUUCCUUCAGUCCGUCUCCACUCUCCACUCUCCAGUCUCCUCUACUCUUUAGCCUCUAGGCAUUAGGUAUGUCCAUCUAUAUAUCUUAAUCCGUCUAUGUUUAACCUUGCUUGAUCUAUAUAACUGAAUCAGGAUCUCCUGACCUUGGUUCCGAACUUUCCAUUGAUUAGUUCCCCAAUUCUCAUAACAGUUAGGAAAAGGUUCUGUUAUCGCUGUCGCUUUCGCGGAUUCGUAGAUGGGAAUGAGUGAGACUCUAAAUCUCAAUGUUGUAAAAUCUAGGGGAGAUAUUGAUGUUGCUACUUUGACUCAGGAGGUGGACAGUCGCGUUUGAAGAAGAGUGGAAAUGGACGCAGGAAUCUGUGGUUGUCGGAGAACCCGAGCAAGACUUGGGGGGAAGUUUUCUUUCUUAAGUAUACUCCAUUCUGGCUCACUCUUUGUCUUGGUAUCAUUGUCCCUUUCAAGCUCUAUGAGGUGUGUGGAUUUAAGUUUUUAAUUUUAUUAUUCUUCGAAUUCUGUUGUUCAAAUCAGUUUGUUUGGGAUUUCCUUUCCUAAUUGGUCGGUAAUUAGGUUUCCAUAUUUCUGUGUGAGAAUCCUAAAUGAUUUUGGACUCUUAAUAUUUUAAAAUCAUUUGAUGCCAACACUUUGAAAGACAGAUUGACCUAGCUAGACUUUACAGCUAAGCUAGAAAAAUAUCAAGAAUUUAAGUAUUGCAAACUGGAAUCCACUUUUUUGCUGCAGCCUACAGAAUGUUCAGAUGCAUUUCAUGCGGAUACUUAAAAAUUAAAAUACCACUUGUCUACUUACAUAUAAGGUGGAUCGAAACCUGAUUUUCAAACCAUUAUCAAGAAAGUUUGAACGAUAAAUUGACUUAGAUUCUAAAGAGUAGCUAGAAAAACACUAAGAUUAUAAGUAUUAUAAAUUAGAAUCAAUUUUUCUGCUGCAGCAUAAAGUUGUGUAUCUUUUUAUUAGCUUUUUUACAUAACUUUCUAAAGUAGUUUGCAUGCACCGGAAAUGGUUAUAAUGUUUUGAGCCAGAUAACAGAUUAACUACUAGUGUCUAGAAGCUGAUUGCUGCGAAGGUUGUUUAAUUUUCCAUUUAUUGUUUAUAAUGAGUUCUCCAUCAGGGUUGAGGCCAAUUAGUGAAUCAGGCUACCUGGUUACGUUUAGUCAACUUGGUCAUCGUUCACAUGAUAUCCCGAUUGGAACUUGAUUGACUAAGUGGGUUAUUUGCAAGCCAAUUCCCACUUCUCUCUCAUAUAUCAACAAAUGAUAACAUAGUCUGAUAUAGAUUAUAGUAAUUAGUUUACAUUAGUCCGUACAAGGACAUACAUGUAUAAAACGCUUCAACACAUGGAAUACAAGGCACAUGAAACACUUUUUUGAAGCUGCUAAAUGUUUUCAUUUAAUGAAAAAUGAAGGGUAUUGUCCUGAAAAUACAAUAGAAAUAGGCAUAAAAUAUAAAUAUGGAUAUUGUGACACUUUCCCC
Molecule: long non-coding RNA, 6708 nt
Filed under: Zostera marina
Lineage: Eukaryota; Viridiplantae; Streptophyta; Magnoliopsida; Alismatales; Zosteraceae
Description: long non-coding RNA (ZMAR_LNC000300)
Source: RNAcentral